GAAAUUAGCCUCGAUCCCAGGCCGAGUUUUCGCUUUUAUAACGGUUAGGCGAACAACUGGGCCUGGUACUAGUUGUCUGCGCAUGCGUCAAUCGUUCGUCAGAUUCUGACGAAUGGAUAUUCUCGUUCACUUUCGUGACAUUUAUAUUCGUGUACUAUCGUGUACUAGAAGUCAGUUCCCGUUUUAUCAUUAUUGGAAUCGAUUGGAAUGGCUGUUAGCUGAAGCUUCUCUCUUCUCUGAAGCUUAUUCUGAAGACUGAACAACAAGGGAAGAGGUAUAAAGCUUUGUCAAGCUUGUUAAGGUCAGAUAUUUUUGUGUGGGCCCUAUGGCCGGCUAUGCUAUCAAGUCUUGUUCAUGUUUGGCAAGAAUGUAGGUAGACUAUAGUUUCAUCAUUAAUAUGGUGGAUCAAGUGAAGAGUGUGAGCUAGAGAACUUGGUGCUGCCAUCAUCAGCUCGUCGACAAUGACACUAUAACCGAGAAAUUUAAUAUGUAUAGAUCUACACGUAUUUAAAAUGUCUACUUCUCUGUACAGGAGCAAUGGCUAAUAUCCAGCUAUCCCAACAGUGCUCCUCUUGGCUAUACUAACGGACGAGACUGGACAGUUUGAGACACAGGACUGGAGUAUGACCUGCUCAUUCGAGCGUUGCUGGGUAGCUCAGAGACAUCAAGAGAAUCUACGUUUUCUCAAGCAAUGAGUUACGAGUUGGGGCCUAGAAUCAGAGAAGUCCAGCAGCCUGCUAAAUCUUUUUGAAACGUAAUUUGAAGGCAUUCAAUCAUCCUGAAGUUGCCCUGGGUCACUGUAAUUGUGCUGCAGCACAACUGGCAACUCCCCAGGCCUUUGUGAAGCAGCUCCCUAUGUGCAUCUUUUGUGUACUCACUCUGUGCAUUUUCUGUGUACAAAUUUCUAUUAUUGAUUUAUUAAAUA
This is a long non-coding RNA of Halichondria panicea, 925 nucleotides long. RefSeq lists it as uncharacterized. The transcript has 2 exons. NCBI's taxonomy places the organism in Eukaryota, Metazoa, Porifera, Demospongiae, Suberitida, Halichondriidae. The record is from RefSeq and is a predicted model, not a curated record.